RNAcentral lists this ribosomal RNA (471 nucleotides) under uncultured soil bacterium. RNAcentral's name for it is "bacterial SSU rRNA". It matches the Rfam family "Bacterial small subunit ribosomal RNA", at positions 61 to 519 of the family's 1533-position model. The record is from RNAcentral.
GUGGUGCGACGAACCAGGGCUUGCCCUGGGGCAGAGCCGCGAACGGGUGUGUAACACGUGGGCAACCUGCCCCGAUGACUGGGACAACCCGGGGAAACCCGGGCUAAUACCGGAUGUGCUCCCUCACACCAGUGAGGUGAGCAAAGGAAGCUUCGGCCUCCGCAUUGGGAUGGGCCCGCGGCCCAUUAGCUUGUUGGUGGGGUAAUGGCCUACCAAGGCAACUAUGGGUAGCUGGUCUGAGAGGACGAUCAGCCACACUGGGACUGAGACACGGCCCAGACUCCUACGGGAGGCAGCAGUGGGGAAUCUUGCGCAAUGCGCGAAAGCGUGACGCAGCAACGCCGCGUGGGGGAAGAAGGCCUUCGGGUUGUAAACCCCUUUCAGUUGGGACGAAGGUCGGGUGGUUAAUAGCCAUUCCGACUGACGGUACCUUCACAAGAAGCUCCGGCUAACUACGUGCCAGCAGCCGCG